AUGAAUCGGAUAUGACCGAUGCUUUGUCAAGGGCUCAUAUGAGAGAAGAAAAGGAGGCUGGAGAUGCAGAGAAAGAAGCUCUAAGCUCAACAAAGGCAUCAGGUUAAUUUUGCUUCAAUUCUUAGGGCCAACUUAUUGUACUAUGUAAUCUAUCUAGUUAGUUACCAGAAGAUUUGCAAUAAAUAAAUAGCUGCCUGGUUCUCAAUAGGUUUGUAGCAUAGUGCCAAUUAUGUGCAACAAUACAUGUUGAGAAGACAAUCAAAUGGAAUUUAAAUACAGUAUUUUUCAAAUGCGUUCUUUGCCAGGAAAGCAGAGAGGGAGAGAGAGAGGAGCAGUAGAUGAACUAAAUGGGUUGGUUGUGUUGGGUUGCAAGCCACGAACUGAGCAUCACAAACAUCCUGUACUAACCUAGAACUAUAAUUGGUAUAUGGAUAAUAGUAUGCAGAGUUGGCCGCCGAAGCAGUAGGAGUUGUCCAGCACUGCUGCUUUAGUUGGAUGGAAAAGCAGUCCUAGUUGCGCACCCAAUUUUCUUGGGUGUCUCUGUGGCAAAAUCAGUAGUACAAGUUGUGCAUAAUACUUGAUGGAGUUGGCGCAGCAAAAUAGUAAAAUUUGAGUGUCAUUUAUAUUAUUUUUUCUAUUUUUGUGGUCGAGUUUUUCUUCUAGAAGCCUGAAAUCUGAAUAUUUCAUUUCCCAAGAGUAUCUAAAUAAUUGGCAUCUCAAGAUUUUCAGUUGCACAAGAGCAUUCAGAAACAUCCAUUUUCCCUGAUUUUUGGUUUGACAAGGAUGAAAACGUCGGCAUUAGAGUCGUGGUCGUGGCAGGGAAGGCGAACCCAGCGCAGCUCUGCCAGUGGCUCAAGAGGAAGAUAAGCAAGGAUGUCAAGAUUUUCCGCCGUUGUCCACACGGGCUGAGAAUUGUAAUAAGCAGGUAUGCAUCCCUCUUGUCUACUUGUACUACAGAAUGAAGGAUGAUGUGUGUAAUAUCCAAAUGAAUGUACGUUAUUACGAAGGGCUAGCCGUGUGGGGUUAAGGUGCUUGCCGCCGGCGACCUGCGUGGCUCUCGGCCUGCAUCCUCGCUGAACUCAACACCAACUAUCGCGCGCCCGCGAUGUGACUGCUGUUGCAACAACGACGGCCAACGGCUAUUGAACGACGAGGAUGCCCUUCGGGGUUAUAGCAUGCAAAGCAAAGCAGUUGCUCGAUCCUCACAGCCAAUAUAUCUCCGUGUAGAAGCAGAAGAAGCAGCAAUUGAUUCGUAAGCAGCAAUUUUAUCUGUUUCAUUCCUUUGUAUUUUUGCCCUCUGUUUCUGCUGAAUGUAUGUAUCACUUUUUUCAG
RNAcentral lists this long non-coding RNA (1332 nucleotides) under Triticum aestivum (bread wheat). RNAcentral describes it as "long non-coding RNA (TAES_LNC023233)". The record is from RNAcentral. Lineage: Eukaryota; Viridiplantae; Streptophyta; Magnoliopsida; Poales; Poaceae.